AAAGAAGUAGAACAUGUACUCCUAUAUAUCAAAUUAAUUUAACUUUUUUUAUUUUUCCUUUUCUUCUUCACCUUGCAGUCUUUUUGGAAGUUUCCUAAUCACCCUUUCUUUCUUUCUUCUGCUCUUGUUCUCGUCAGCAUUAAUCAGAAACAUUUAAUAAGCAAGCUCCUCUUUUCUUUUCUUCUCCUCUCGAUCCAACGCACACAAACCGAAAGGGAAGAAAAAUCCAAGAGAUCAAAAAAUACAUGCAUUAUUGCAUGAGGUUGCCAAUGGUGGG
RNAcentral lists this long non-coding RNA (277 nucleotides) under Brachypodium distachyon (stiff brome). RNAcentral describes it as "long non-coding RNA (BDIS_LNC001012)". The record is from RNAcentral. Lineage: Eukaryota; Viridiplantae; Streptophyta; Magnoliopsida; Poales; Poaceae.